This 465-nucleotide ribosomal RNA is filed under the name uncultured bacterium. RNAcentral describes it as "partial 16S ribosomal RNA". It matches the Rfam family "Bacterial small subunit ribosomal RNA", at positions 28 to 507 of the family's 1533-position model. The record is from RNAcentral.
GACGAACGCUGGCGGCGUGCUUAACACAUGCAAGUCGAACGGAAAGGCCCUGCUUGCAGGGUACUCGAGUGGCGAACGGGUGAGUAACACGUGGGUGAUCUGCCCUGCACUUCGGGAUAAGCCUGGGAAACUGGGUCUAAUACCGGCUAUGACCUUCCAUGUAGUGUGGGGGGUGGAAAGAUUUAUCGGUGUUGGAUGAGCCCGCGGCCUAUCAGCUUGUUGGUGGGGUAAUGGCCUACCAAGGCGUCGACGGGUAGCCGGCCUGAGAGGGUGGACGGCCACAUUGGGACUGAGAUACGGCCCAGACUCCUACGGGAGGCAGCAGUGGGGAAUAUUGCACAAUGGGCGGAAGCCUGAUGCAGCGACGCCGCGUGGGGGAUGACGGCCUUCGGGUUGUAAACCUCUUUCGACAGGGACGAAGCUUCGGUGACGGUACCUGUAUAAGAAGCACCGGCUAACUACGUG